RNAcentral lists this ribosomal RNA (460 nucleotides) under uncultured bacterium. RNAcentral describes it as "partial 16S ribosomal RNA". It matches the Rfam family "Bacterial small subunit ribosomal RNA", at positions 338 to 795 of the family's 1533-position model. The record is from RNAcentral.
CCUACGGGAGGCAGCAGUGAGGAAUAUUGGUCAAUGGGCGUAAGCCUGAACCAGCCAAGUCGCGUGAGGGAUGAAGGUUCUAUGGAUCGUAAACCUCUUUUAUAAGGGAAUAAAGUGUGGGACGUGUCCUGUUUUGUAUGUACCUUAUGAAUAAGGAUCGGCUAACUCCGUGCCAGCAGCCGCGGUAAUACGGAGGAUCCGAGCGUUAUCCGGAUUUAUUGGGUUUAAGGGGUGCGUAGGCGGCCUUUUAAGUAAGCGGUGAAAGUCUGUGGCUCAACCAUAGAAUUGCCGUUGAAACUGGGAGGCUUGAGUAUGUUUGAGGCAGGCGGAAUGCGUGGUGUAGCGGUGAAAUGCUUAGAUAUCACGCAGAACCCCGAUUGCGAAGGCAGCCUGCCAAGCCAUGACUGACGCUGAUGCACGAAAGCGUGGGGAUCAAACAGGAUUAGAUACCCCAGUAGUC